AUUGAACGCUGGCGGCAGGCCUCACACAUGCAAGUCGACCGAGUGGCGGACGGGUGAGUAAUGUCUGGGAAACUGCCCGAUGGAGGGGUAUAACUACUGGAAACGGUAGCUAAUACCGCAUACCAUCGGAUUUGCCCAGAUGGGAUUAGCUAGUAGGUGGGGUAACGGCUCACCUAGGCGAAGAUCCCUAGCUGGUCUAAGAGGAUGACCAGCCACACUGGAACUGAGACACGGGCCAGACUCCUACGGGAGGCAGAAGUGGGGAAUAUUGCACAAUGGGGGCAAGCCUGAUGAAGCAAGGCCGCGGGUAUGAAGAAGGCCUUCGGGUUGUAAAGUACUUGCAGCGAGGAGGCGUUACUCGCAGAAGAAGCACCGGCUAACUCCGUGCCAGCAGACGCGGUAAUUC
RNAcentral lists this ribosomal RNA (406 nucleotides) under uncultured bacterium. RNAcentral's name for it is "partial 16S ribosomal RNA". It matches the Rfam family "Bacterial small subunit ribosomal RNA", at positions 30 to 526 of the family's 1533-position model. The record is from RNAcentral.